This 201-nucleotide ribosomal RNA is filed under the name Gardnerella vaginalis. RNAcentral's name for it is "partial 16S ribosomal RNA". It matches the Rfam family "Bacterial small subunit ribosomal RNA", at positions 639 to 837 of the family's 1533-position model. Lineage: Bacteria; Bacillati; Actinomycetota; Actinomycetes; Bifidobacteriales; Bifidobacteriaceae. The record is from RNAcentral.
GGCUAGAGUGCAGUAGGGGAGACUGGAAUUACCGGUGUAACGGUGGAAUGUGUAGAUAUUGGGAAGAACACCAAUGGCGAAGGCAGGUCUCUGGGCUGUUACUGACGCUGAGAAGCGAAAGCGUGGGGAGCGAACAGGAUUAGAUACCCUGGUAGUCCACGCCGUAAACGGUGGACGCUGGAUGUGGGGCCCAUUCCUCGG